GACGGUGUGGCGCAAUUGGCAGUCGCGGAACACUCAAAAUGUUCUUGUUGAGAGUUCGAAUCUUUCCACCGUCACCA
This 77-nucleotide transfer RNA is filed under the name Candidatus Omnitrophota bacterium. RNAcentral's name for it is "tRNA-Leu". It matches the Rfam family "tRNA". Rfam says of the family: Transfer RNA (tRNA) molecules are approximately 80 nucleotides in length. The record is from RNAcentral. Lineage: Bacteria; Pseudomonadati; Candidatus Omnitrophota.